AGGACGAACGCUGGCGGCGUGCCUAAUACAUGCAAGUCGAGCGGACUAAUUGGAGCUUGCUCCAAUUAGUUAGCGGCGGACGGGUGAGUAACACGUGGGCAACCUACCUAUAAGACUGGGAUAACUUCGGGAAACCGGAGCUAAUACCGGAUGACACAAAGGAACUCCUGUUCCUUUGUUGAAAGAUGGCUUCGGCUAUCACUUAUAGAUGGGCCCGCGGCGCAUUAGCUAGUUGGUGAGGUAACGGCUCACCAAGGCGACGAUGCGUAGCCGACCUGAGAGGGUGAUCGGCCACACUGGGACUGAGACACGGCCCAGACUCCUACGGGAGGCAGCAGUAGGGAAUCUUCCGCAAUGGACGAAAGUCUGACGGAGCAACGCCGCGUGAGCGAUGAAGGCCUUCGGGUCGUAAAAGCUCUGUUGUUAGGGAAGAACAAGUGCUAGUUGAAUAAGCUGGCACCUGAC
Molecule: ribosomal RNA, 465 nt
Filed under: Bacillus sp. LPA37
Lineage: Bacteria; Bacillati; Bacillota; Bacilli; Caryophanales; Bacillaceae
Description: bacterial SSU rRNA
Rfam family: Bacterial small subunit ribosomal RNA
Source: RNAcentral